GUUCUAAAACUGGGCUCUACGUUACAGCUGAAGUGGAUCCUAACCACUGUGGGCUGCCUCUUCUCAGCUUUAUAGACACUGUAACCACUCUGUUUUUGUCCCAUACUUCUCAUUCUCAAGGCGCUUCACCUUUGCAGAGAAAACAGAACCAAGUAGUUCUAUUUCUUCUCCACUCUCCAAAUAACUAUUAUGUAUCUUGUUGUAGAAGCAACAUUUGCCAUGUGAGCCAGUAAUUGUGACAGCUGAGGAGAUGUAGCCUGAAGUGGUGGCUGAGAUGAUUUCAUCGGUACCUCCCACCAAUACACUUCACAUCACCCAGCUCCAGGCAGAGGGUGGCACAAAGUUCACCCUACUUUUGAUGAGAGCUGCAGUCAUCAGGGCCAUGGUGCUAGCCAGACCCUAUCCCACAAAAAAGGAAAGGAGCUCGGUGUUGUUCAGGGAAGGAAAAAUGGAUGCUGAGCCGGCCCCAUCCGUCUCACCUGGGAGAAGAGACAGUCACAGAAACAGAGCCACAAGGAUACAGAAAGGGUCUGGGUUGCUGUGAAGAGUCCCAGUAUAAAUGCAUUGCACUAGAUCAUAACACCAUGCAAACCAGGAAUUCUUGGGAGCUCGGUACCAGACCGUGUCAUUGGGAAUGGGUGUGUUCUGUAUCACAAUUAAUGGGCUGGGGAUCUGACGAAUCUGACGAUGAUGUGAUUAAACAAGUGCU
Molecule: long non-coding RNA, 709 nt
Organism: Sarcophilus harrisii (Tasmanian devil)
Lineage: Eukaryota; Metazoa; Chordata; Mammalia; Dasyuromorphia; Dasyuridae
Exons: 3
Source: RefSeq, a predicted model, not a curated record